AGUAAAAGUCGUAACAAGGUUUCCGUAGGUGAACCUGCGGAAGGAUCAUUAUUGAAUAAACCUGGUAGGCUGUAGCUGGCUCUUUGGAGCAUGUGCACGUCUGCCAUCUUUAUCCAUCCACCUGUGCACCUUUUGUAGUCUUAGGGGGCUGAUGAUAGUGGCCGACUCUCGAUGGGACCCUCUGGUCCUUUCGGAUAUGGGAAAUGCUAGUUGGCUUUUCUCAAGAGGCUGCAAUCUCUCCUCUUAGGUCUAUGUCUUUUUCAUACACCAUGUAGUAUGUUGCAGAAUGUAUCUCAUGGGCCUCUGUGCCUAUAAAACUUAAUACAACUUUCAGCAACGGAUCUCUUGGCUCUCGCAUCGAUGAAGAACGCAGCGAAAUGCGAUAAGUAAUGUGAAUUGCAGAAUUCAGUGAAUCAUCGAAUCUUUGAACGCACCUUGCGCUCCUUGGUAUUCCGAGGAGCAUGCCUGUUUGAGUGUCAUUAAAUUCUCAACCCUUCCAGCUUUUGUGGCUGGUUGUGGCUUGGAUGUGGGAGAUACUGCAGGCCUCUGUAUUUGAGGUCAGCUCUCCUGAAAUGCAUUAGCGGAACUGUUUGCGGACCCGUCACUGGUGUGAUAAUUAUCUACGCCAACGAUGACCGCUCUCUAUGUGUUCAGCUUCUAACUGUCUCUCUGUGGACAACUUUUGAACCUUUGACCUCAAAUCAGGUAGGACUACCCGCUGAACUUAAGCAUAUCAAUAAGCGGAGGA
This 748-nucleotide ribosomal RNA is filed under the name uncultured fungus. RNAcentral describes it as "eukaryotic LSU rRNA". The stretch from base 326 to 479 matches the Rfam family "5.8S ribosomal RNA". The record is from RNAcentral. Lineage: Eukaryota; Fungi.